CACGGAGUUAGCCGAUCCUUAUUCAUACGGUACCUGCAAUAGAGCACACGUGCCCCAUUUUAUCCCCGUAUAAAAGCAGUUUAAAACCCGUAGGGCUGUAAUCCUGCACGCGACAUGGCUGGUUCAGGCUCGCGCCCAUUGACCAAUAUUCCUCACUGCUGCCUCCCGUAGGAGUCUGGUCCGUGUCUCAGUACCAGUGUGGGGGACCUUCCUCUCAGAACCCCUAAACAUCGUAGCCUUGGUGAGCCGUUACCUCACCAACAAGCUAAUGUUACGCAUGCCCAUCUGUUACCAAAGUUUUUUAACUAAAAUAGGAUGCCCUAUCGUAGUAUUAUGCGGUAUUAGUCCGUCUUUCAACGGGUUAUCCCCCGGUAAUAGGCAGGUUGCAUACGUGUUACUCACCCGUGCGCCGGUCGCCGCCAGGUAUUGCUACCCGCGAUGCCCCUCGACUUGCAUGUGUUAGGCCUGUCGCUAGCGUUCAUCCUGAGCCAGGAUCAAACUCU
This 503-nucleotide ribosomal RNA is filed under the name uncultured Bacteroidales bacterium. RNAcentral describes it as "partial 16S ribosomal RNA". The record is from RNAcentral. Lineage: Bacteria; Pseudomonadati; Bacteroidota; Bacteroidia; Bacteroidales.